Molecule: ribosomal RNA, 253 nt
Filed under: uncultured bacterium
Lineage: Bacteria
Description: partial 16S ribosomal RNA
Rfam family: Bacterial small subunit ribosomal RNA
Source: RNAcentral
UACGGAGGGAGCUAGCGUUGUUCGGAAUUACUGGGCGUAAAGCGCGCGUAGGCGGCUUUGUAAGUUAGAGGUGAAAGCCCGGGGCUCAACCCCGGAACUGCCUUUAAAACUGCAUCGCUUGAAUCCGGGAGAGGUGAGUGGAAUUCCGAGUGUAGAGGUGAAAUUCGUAGAUAUUCGGAAGAACACCAGUGGCGAAGGCGGCUCACUGGACCGGCAUUGACGCUGAGGCGCGAAAGCUAGGGGAGCAAACGGG